Molecule: ribosomal RNA, 533 nt
Filed under: Aspergillus sp. 39m
Lineage: Eukaryota; Fungi; Ascomycota; Eurotiomycetes; Eurotiales; Aspergillaceae
Description: partial 18S ribosomal RNA
Rfam family: 5.8S ribosomal RNA (bases 203-356)
Source: RNAcentral
CUGCGGAAGGAUCAUUACCGAGUGAGGGCCCUCUGGGUCCAACCUCCCACCCGUGUCUAUCGUACCUUGUUGCUUCGGCGGGCCCGCCGUUUCGACGGCCGCCGGGGAGGCCUUGCGCCCCCGGGCCCGCGCCCGCCGAAGACCCCAACAUGAACGCUGUUCUGAAAGUAUGCAGUCUGAGUUGAUUAUCGUAAUCAGUUAAAACUUUCAACAACGGAUCUCUUGGUUCCGGCAUCGAUGAAGAACGCAGCGAAAUGCGAUAAGUAAUGUGAAUUGCAGAAUUCAGUGAAUCAUCGAGUCUUUGAACGCACAUUGCGCCCCCUGGUAUUCCGGGGGGCAUGCCUGUCCGAGCGUCAUUGCUGCCCUCAAGCACGGCUUGUGUGUUGGGCCCCCGUCCCCCUCUCCCGGGGGACGGGCCCGAAAGGCAGCGGCGGCACCGCGUCCGGUCCUCGAGCGUAUGGGGCUUUGUCACCUGCUCUGUAGGCCCGGCCGGCGCCAGCCGACACCCAACUUUAUUUUUCUAAGGUGACCUC